AACGAACGCUGGCGGCAUGCCUAACACAUGCAAGUCGAACGAGACCUUCGGGUCUAGUGGCGCACGGGUGCGUAACGCGUGGGAACCUGCCCUUAGGUUCGGAAUAACUCCCCGAAAGGGGUGCUAAUACCGGAUAAUGUCUUCGGACCAAAGAUUUAUCGCCUUUGGAUGGGCCCGCGUUGGAUUAGCUAGUUGGUAGGGUAAAAGCCUACCAAGGCGACGAUCCAUAGCUGGUCUGAGAGGAUGAUCAGCCACACUGGGACUGAGACACGGCCCAGACUCCUACGGGAGGCAGCAGUGGGUAAUAUUGUACAAUGGGCGAAAGCCUGAUCCAGCAAUGCCGCGUGAGUGAUGAAGGCCUUAGGGUUGUAAAGCUCUUUUACCCGGGAUGAUAAUGACAGUACCGGGAGAAUAAGCUCCGGCUAACUCCGUG
RNAcentral lists this ribosomal RNA (433 nucleotides) under uncultured bacterium. RNAcentral's name for it is "partial 16S ribosomal RNA". It matches the Rfam family "Bacterial small subunit ribosomal RNA", at positions 29 to 507 of the family's 1533-position model. The record is from RNAcentral.